GUUUAACUAAGGGAGGUGGACGAGAUUGGAAUCCCAAAAUCAGAUUGAAAUCUCCAACUUUUGCUAGGGUUCUUGUACACCCACAUCUAAAACAAGACAGAUGAAAUCCAAAAAAUUUGAUAAUGCAUGUUGGAUUUGAGCUACAAACUAGAAUGGAUAAGUAUCUUCAAGCAAGGUGUGGCAAAGCUUGGAAGACAACAUGGCGAACAAGUAGAAAUGAUGACGACUUUCGUACGGGCCAAGCUGCAGGUUUUGUGACGAGACUAAGGACGGAUUUUUGACAUAAAAGUUUUAUCAAAUGUGGUAAGGAAUAAUUGUAUGAUUUUGAAGGUAACUUGCUAUAAGAGAUAAAGGUUAGGCGUAUAUUUCCUUGAUUAUAGUGGGAUACAUGUGAUAUACCAUUCACUUAGAUUUGCUAAUGAUGUGUUGUAUGUGUUCUCAGGUAUACGAGUAUUGAAGCUAAAAUUUAUGACAUUGAAGAUCGAGUCUGAAGUUUGGAUUGUACGAGUUGGGCAAGGAUUAGUUGGUUCAUAAGUAGACUAUGAACACUCUUCAAGGAAGGAUUGUAACACCUAGCUAAUAGUAUUAAAGAAAUACAAUUGGCAAUUGAUAUUAAGUGUAAAUUGUCAAACGAUUUUUUUGGGAUCAAUUUCCGCUGCUAAAUAAAUAUAGAAAUCUUGUUUUCAAA
Helianthus annuus (common sunflower) is the source of this 688-nucleotide long non-coding RNA. RefSeq lists it as uncharacterized. The transcript is spliced from 3 exons. The record is from RefSeq and is a predicted model, not a curated record. NCBI's taxonomy places the organism in Eukaryota, Viridiplantae, Streptophyta, Magnoliopsida, Asterales, Asteraceae.